UACGUAGGGACCAAGCGUUGUUCGGAUUUACUGGGCGUAAAGGGCGCGUAGGCGGCAUGGCAAGUCACUUGUGAAAUCUCCGGGCUUAACUCGGAACGGCCAAGUGAAACUGCUAAGCUAGAGUGUGGAAGGGGCAAUCGGAAUUCUUGGUGUAGCGGUGAAAUGCGUAGAUAUCAAGAGGAACACCUGAGGUGAAGACGGGUUGCUGGGCCAACACUGACGCUGAUGCGCGAAAGCCAGGGGAGCAAACGGG
RNAcentral lists this ribosomal RNA (253 nucleotides) under uncultured bacterium. Its description in RNAcentral is "partial 16S ribosomal RNA". It matches the Rfam family "Bacterial small subunit ribosomal RNA", at positions 524 to 776 of the family's 1533-position model. The record is from RNAcentral.